GAUGAACGCUGGCGGCGUGCCUAAUACAUGCAAGUCGAGCGAACAGAUGAUGAGCUUGCUCCUCUGACGUUAGCGGCGGACGGGUGAGUAACACGUGGAUAACCUACCUAUAAGACUGGGAUAACUUCGUGAAACCGGAGCUAAUACCGGAUAAUAUAUUGAACCUCAUGGUUCAAUAGUGAAAGACGGUUUUGCUGUAUUUUAUAGAUAGCUCCUGGUCGCAUUAGCUAGUUGGUAAGGUAACGGGUUACGAAGGCAACGAUGCGUAGCCGACCUGAGAGGGUGAUGGGCCCACCUGGACCGGAGACACGCUCCAGACUCCUACGGGGGGCAGCGGAAGGGAAUCUUCGGCAGAGGGCGAAGGCCUGACGGGGCACCGCGGGGUGAGUGAUGAAGGUCUUGGGAUCGUAAGAUUCGGUUAUAAGGGAAGAACAAAUGUGUAGGUAACUAUGCACGUCGUGACGGUACCUAAUCAGAAAGCCACGGCUAACUACGUG
This 497-nucleotide ribosomal RNA is filed under the name uncultured bacterium. RNAcentral describes it as "partial 16S ribosomal RNA". It matches the Rfam family "Bacterial small subunit ribosomal RNA", at positions 28 to 507 of the family's 1533-position model. The record is from RNAcentral.